CCUACGGGGGGCAGCAGUGAGGAAUAUUGGUCAAUGGACGAGAGUCUGAACCAGCCAAGUAGCGUGAAGGAUGACUGCCCUAUGGGUUGUAAACUUCUUUUAUAUGGGAAUAAAACGUUCCACGUGUGGGAUUUUGUAUGUACCAUAUGAAUAAGGAUCGGCUAACUCCGUGCCAGCAGCCGCGGUAAUACGGAGGAUCCGAGCGUUAUCCGGAUUUAUUGGGUUUAAAGGGAGCGUAGGUGGAUUGUUAAGUCAGUUGUGAAAGUUUGCGGCUCAACCGUAAAAUUGCAGUUGAAACUGGCAGUCUUGAGUACAGUAGAGGUGGGCGGAAUUCGGGGUGUAGCGGUGAAAUGCUUAGAUAUCACGAAGAACUCCGAUUGCGAAGGCAGUUCACUGGACUGCAACUGACACUGAGGCUCGAAAGUGUGGGUAUCAAACAGGAUUAGAUACCCUUGUAGUC
RNAcentral lists this ribosomal RNA (460 nucleotides) under uncultured bacterium. RNAcentral describes it as "partial 16S ribosomal RNA". It matches the Rfam family "Bacterial small subunit ribosomal RNA", at positions 338 to 795 of the family's 1533-position model. The record is from RNAcentral.